RNAcentral lists this ribosomal RNA (497 nucleotides) under uncultured bacterium. RNAcentral's name for it is "partial 16S ribosomal RNA". It matches the Rfam family "Bacterial small subunit ribosomal RNA", at positions 28 to 507 of the family's 1533-position model. The record is from RNAcentral.
GAUGAACGCUGGCGGCGUGCCUAAUACAUGCAAGUCGAGCGAACAGACGAGGCUCUUGCUCCUCUUACGUUAGCGGCGGACGGGUGAGUAACACGUGGAUAACCUACCUAUAAGACUGGGAUAACUUCGGGAACCCGGAUCUAAUACCGGAUAAUAUAUUGAACCGCAUGGUUCUUUAGUGAAAGACGGAUUUGCUGAGCCUAAGACAUGUAUCCGGGUCGCAUUAGCUAGUUGGUAAGGUAACGGCUUACCAAGGCAACGAUGCGUAGCCGACCUGAGAGGGUGAUCGGCCACACUGGAACUGAGACACGGUCCAGACUCCUACGGGAGGCAGCAGUAGGGAAUCUUCGGCAAUGGGCGAAAGCCUGACGGAGCAACGCCGCGUGUGUGAUGAAGGUCUUCGGAUCGUAAAACUCUGUUAUUAGGGAAGAACAAAUGUGUAAGUAAAUAUGCACGUCUUGACGGUACCUAAUCAGAAAGCCACGGCUAACUACGUG